Molecule: ribosomal RNA, 497 nt
Filed under: uncultured bacterium
Lineage: Bacteria
Description: partial 16S ribosomal RNA
Rfam family: Bacterial small subunit ribosomal RNA
Source: RNAcentral
GAUGAACGCUGGCGGCGUGCCUAAUACAUGCAAGUCGAGCGAACGGACGAGAAGCUUGCUUCUCUGAUGUUAGCGGCGGACGGGUGAGUAACACGUGGAUAACCUACCUAUAAGACUGGGAUAACUUCGGGAAACCGGAGCUAAUACCGGAUGAUAUUUUGAACCGCAUGGUUCAAAAGUGAAAGACGGUCUUGCUGUCACUUAUAGAUGGAUCCGCGCUGCAUUAGCUAGUUGGUAAGGUAACGGCUUACCAAGGCAACGAUGCGUAGCCGACCUGAGAGGGUGAUCGGCCACACUGGAACUGAGACACGGUCCAGACUCCUACGGGAGGCAGCAGUAGGGAAUCUUCCGCAAUGGGCGAAAGCCUGACGGAGCAACGCCGCGUGAGUGAUGAAGGUCUUCGGAUCGUAAAACUCUGUUAUUAGGGAAGAACAUAUGUGUAAGUAACUGUGCACAUCUUGACGGUACCUAAUCAGAAAGCCCCGGCUAACUACGUG